RNAcentral lists this small RNA (107 nucleotides) under Marmota monax (woodchuck). Lineage: Eukaryota; Metazoa; Chordata; Mammalia; Rodentia; Sciuridae. The record is from RNAcentral.
GUCGAGUGCGGAGGCGCACACCUGUAAUCCCAGCUACCUGGGAGGCUGAGGCAGGAGGAUUAUAAAUCCGAGGCCAGCCUGGGCAACUUGGUAAGACCCUAUCUCAA